AUGCGAGUCUUUGUAGCAAUACAAGGCAGACGGCUCAGUAACGCGUAGUCAACCUAACCUAUGGAUGGGAAUAACCUCGGGAAACUGAGAAUAAUGCCCAAUAGAACACUAUGCCUGGAAUGGUUUGUGCUCCAAAUGAUUUAUCGCCGUAGGAUGGGACUGCGGCCUAUCAGUUUGUUGGUGAGGUAAUGGCCCACCAAGACUAUUACAGGUACGGGCUCUGAGAGGAGUAGCCCGGAGAUGGGUACUGAGACACGGACCCAGGCCCUAUGGGGCGCAGCAGGCGAGAAAACUUUGCAAUGUGCGAAAGCACGACAAGGUUAAUCCGAGUGAUUUGUGCUAAACGAAUCUUUUGUUAGUCCUAGAAACACUAACGAAUAAGGGGUGGGCAAGUUCUGGUGUCAGCCGCCGCGGUAAAACCAGCACCUCAAGUGGUCAGGAUGAUUAUUGGGCCUAAAGCAUCCGUAGCCGGCUCUGUAAGUUUUCGGUUAAAUCUGUACGCUCAACGUACAGGCUGCCGGGAAUACUGCAGAGCUAGGGAGUGGGAGAGGUAGACGGUACUCGGUAGGAAGGGGUAAAAUCCUUUGAUCUAUUGAUGACCACCUGUGGCGAAGGCGGUCUACCAGAACACGUCCGACGGUGAGGGAUGAAAGCUGGGGGAGCAAACCGGAUUAGAUACCCGGGUAGUCCCAGCUGUAAACUAUGCAAACUCAGUGAUGCAUUGACUUGUGGUCAAUGCAGUGCUGCAGGGAAGCCGUUAAGUUUGCCGCCUGGGAAGUACGUACGCAAGUAUGAAACUUAAAGGAAUUGGCGGGGGAGCACCACAAGGGGUGAAGCCUGCGGUUCAAUUGGAGUCAACGCCGGAA
RNAcentral lists this ribosomal RNA (866 nucleotides) under uncultured crenarchaeote. Its description in RNAcentral is "bacterial SSU rRNA". It matches the Rfam family "Archaeal small subunit ribosomal RNA", at positions 51 to 923 of the family's 1478-position model. Lineage: Archaea; Thermoproteati; Thermoproteota. The record is from RNAcentral.